Long non-coding RNA from Pecten maximus, 797 nucleotides. RefSeq lists it as uncharacterized. The transcript has 4 exons. The record is from RefSeq and is a predicted model, not a curated record. NCBI's taxonomy places the organism in Eukaryota, Metazoa, Mollusca, Bivalvia, Pectinida, Pectinidae.
AAAGUAUAACGAUUAUAUGAUUAGUCAAUGAUAAGUUUAAAGCCUUAAAUGAUUCCACACGACCACUCAAAGAGCGUUGGAAACUGAAUCCGUCAUGUAAACUUAUCUCGACUUGCUGCUGAAACAGAGACAUAGUUUGGCUCCCCCACGACUGACCUGUUGACUUUGUGUGGAGAACAACAUGGCGGGUAUAAUCGGCUUCUUGCUCCUUUGCUGGUGUUUCACACUUGGAUUAAGCGACGAAUGUCCGGACGAAGAGUGGAAACGACUUGGAAACAGCUGUUUCUUUUUCAGCGAAGAAUCUCUUUCCUGGGAUAGUGCCGCGUAUUUUUGUCAUAUUAUUCCUGGUGUCGAUGCGAAGCUUGCGUAUAUCCUGUCCGCGACAGAAAAUGCAUUUAUUACGGGAUAGACUGAACACUUACAAUUAUAUCCAUUUUUAUCACAUUGGGAGCCACUGAUGCGGGUCAUGAAGGAAGGUUCGCUUGGGAACAAAAGGACAUGGACUUGAAUGACUACUAUACGAACUGGUCACAUAACGAACCGAACGAUGCGGGUACCGGCGAGGACUGCUCAGAAAUCAGUACAACUAACGGAAAGUGGAACGACAUUCCAUGCUCCGAGGAACAGCGUUUUGUUUGUAGGAUGGAACUCUAGCGCGAGACAGGCGCUUUUCUCUGCUCGUAACACAUUUUAUGACGUCAUUUUUAAGUAACAUAUUUUAAUUUGUUGUGAUAAUGGCGUUAUAUCCUAUGUCCUUUGUUUGUAAACAGAAAAAUAAAACAUCAUAAGUAAACAAA